AUUACGGUGCUCCUUAGCACCAUACAUCGAAACAUAGAAAAGUUAU
Molecule: non-coding RNA, 46 nt
Organism: Stegodyphus mimosarum
Lineage: Eukaryota; Metazoa; Arthropoda; Arachnida; Araneae; Eresidae
Source: Rfam